CCCUCUGAAGUACUCCCGCCGUCGACCCAUUCGCCGCUACCUCCGCCUCCCGUCAUCGCCGCUGCCUCCGCCUCCGGUUGCCGCCGCCUCCAGCUCGAUCGGGCUUUGCCUCCGCGUCCGGCGCUGCCAAAUCCGCCUCCGCCUUCGCCGCCUCAAAGAAGGAGGUUGCAUAAGAUGUCCUCUGAAAUGGAUGACUUUGGCAUUUCAGUUAAUGAAGCCACACCUGGAAAUGUGGAUGGAGCAGGUCUGUAUGGGACUGGCCUGAAGAAUGAAGUUGGUGAAUACAAUUGUUUUCCGAACGUCAUUAUACAGUCCUUAUGGCAUGUAAGAUGUUUUCAGGAUAAAUUUUUGGGGAGAUCACUGUCAAAGCAUGUGCAUGUUGGAGAUCCUUGUGUUACCUGUGCACUGUAUGAUAUUUUUACUGCCGAGCAUGGCAUCAACAGAUUUGCGAAGAGAGACUGUGGCCCCUACUUCUCUCAGGAUUGCUCUGAGUAACUUAUACCCAGACAGUAAUUUUUUUCAGCAGGUAGAUGCUGGGUUAAUGCUAUGAAAAGUUCUGAUUGACCCGAAUUUCAAGCUUCUAACUCAAUGGAUAUAGGUGAUAAUGUGCAUUGGACAAAGGCAGACAUGGACCCAAUGGUCGUUGACACAACUAUUAAUUCAAAGAAAAUAAAGGAAAGAAAGGAAAGAAACUAAGUAAUAUGAAAGAGACAAAAGACAAGGAAGGCCCAAAGACUGGUAAACAUGUCUUCAUAUCUCCAGGUCAAUGAGACAUCAGAACUCUGAAGGAAGCAACUUUUGUCUUGGACUACAUGAAUAGUUCUAUGACUAUAGUGUUUUGGUGUACAUUUUUGUAUAGUAUUUACGGUUGUCAAAGUGUUGCUUUUAGUUGAAUAUUUUUUUUUUUUUUUGUAGUUCGUUGGCAAUUAACACUUAUAUAAAUACUAUUUUUGGUGUGUAAAUGUUAAUGAAUAAUGAUGUUUUUUAUUUUGGUAGAACAUAUAUUACUUUGAAGUUUGUUGAAUGAUAGGUUUAAUUUUAUGAAUUUUAUUUUAAUUUGAUAUGGACAAUGAUAUAUAAGUUUGGUAGUUUACAUCAAAACAGGAUGUUGUC
Molecule: long non-coding RNA, 1113 nt
Organism: Diospyros lotus (date-plum)
Lineage: Eukaryota; Viridiplantae; Streptophyta; Magnoliopsida; Ericales; Ebenaceae
Exons: 6
Source: RefSeq, a predicted model, not a curated record